AGUUAAAGCUCCGGCGGUUAAAGAUGGGCAUGCGUAACAUUAGCUAGUUGGUGAGGUAACUGCUCACCAAGGCUACGAUGUUUAGGGGGUCUGAGAGGAUGGUCCCCCACACUGGUACUGAGACACGGACCAGACUCCUACGGGAGGCAGCAGUGAGGAAUAUUGGUCAAUGGGCGAAAGCCUGAACCAGCCAUGCCGCGUGAAGGAUGACGGCCCUAUGGGUUGUAAACUUCUUUUAUACGGGAAGAAACCGUCCUACGUGUAGGGCGUUGACGGUACCGUACGAAUAAGCAUCGGCUAACUCCGUGCCAGCAGCCGCGGUAAUACGGAGGAUGCAAGCGUUAUCCGGAUUUAUUGGGUUUAAAGGGUGCGUAGGCGGAAAUUUAAGUCAGUGAUGAAAUCCUGCGGCUCAACCGUAGAACUGUUAUUGAUACUGAAUUUCUUGAAUACAGUUGAGGUAGGCGGAAUGAGUAAUGUAGCGGUGAAAUGCUUAGAUAUUACUCAGAACACCGAUUGCGAAGGCAGCUUACUAAACUGAUAUUGACGCUGAGGCACGAAAGCGUGGGGAGCGAACAGGAUUAGAUACCCUGGUAGUCCACGCCGUAAACGAUGAUCACUCGUUGUUGGCAAUACACCGUCAGCGACUGAGCGAAAGCAUUAAGUGAUCCACCUGGGGAGUACGAUCGCAAGAUUGAAACUCAAGGGAAUUGACGGGGGCCCGCACAAGCGGAGGAACAUGUGGUUUAAUUCGAUGAUACGCGAGGAACCUUACCUGGGCUUAAAUGUAGAGCGACGGACCGGGAAACUGGUCUUUCUUCGGACGAUCUACAAGGUGCUGCAUGGCUGUCGUCAGCUCGUGCCGUGAGGUGUCGGGUUAAGUCCCAUAACGAGCGCAACCCUCAUCAUUAGUUGCCAGCGGGUAAUGCCGGGGACUCUAAUGAAACUGCCGGUGUAAACCGAGAGGAAGGUGGGGAUGACGUCAAGUCAGCACGGCCCUUAUGUCCAGGGCUACACACGUGUUACAAUGGUCGGUACAAAGGGCAGCUACCAUGCGAAUGGAUGCUAAUCUCGAAAACUGGUCUCAGUUCGGAUCGGAGUCUGC
RNAcentral lists this ribosomal RNA (1102 nucleotides) under uncultured organism. Its description in RNAcentral is "bacterial SSU rRNA". It matches the Rfam family "Bacterial small subunit ribosomal RNA", at positions 199 to 1308 of the family's 1533-position model. The record is from RNAcentral.